RNAcentral lists this ribosomal RNA (466 nucleotides) under uncultured bacterium. Its description in RNAcentral is "partial 16S ribosomal RNA". It matches the Rfam family "Bacterial small subunit ribosomal RNA", at positions 28 to 507 of the family's 1533-position model. The record is from RNAcentral.
GAUGAACGCUGGCGGCGUGCUUAACACAUGCAAGUCGAACGGAAAGGCUCCUGCUUGCAGGGGUACUCGAGUGGCGAACGGGUGAGUAACACGUGGGUGAUCUGCCCUGCACUUCGGGAUAAGCCUGGGAAACUGGGUCUAAUACCGGAUAGGACGAUGGUUUGGAUGCCAUUGUGGAAAGUUUUUUCGGUGUGGGAUGAGCUCGCGGCCUAUCAGCUUGUUGGUGGGGUAAUGGCCUACCAAGGCGUCGACGGGUAGCCGGCCUGAGAGGGUGUACGGCCACAUUGGGACUGAGUUACGGCCCAGACUCCUACGGGAGGCAGCAGUGGGGAAUAUUGCACAAUGGGCGCAAGCCUGAUGCAGCGACGCCGCGUGGGGGAUGACGGCCUUCGGGUUGUAAACUCCUUUCGCUAGGGACGAAGCGCAAGUGACGGUACCUGGAGAAGAAGCACCGGCUAACUACGUG